UACGUAGGGCGCAAGCGUUAUCCGGAAUUAUUGGGCGUAAAGAGCUCGUAGGCGGUUUGUCGCGUUGUUCGUGAAAACUCACAGCUUAACUGUGGGCGUGCGGGCGAUACGGGCAGACUGGAGUACUGCAGGGGAGACUGGAAUUCCUGGUGUAGCGGUGAAAUGCGCAGAUAUCAGGAGGAACACCGGUGGCGAAGGCGGGUCUCUGGGCAGUAACUGACGCUGAGGAACGAAAGCGUGGGUAGCAAACAGG
This 253-nucleotide ribosomal RNA is filed under the name uncultured bacterium. RNAcentral's name for it is "partial 16S ribosomal RNA". It matches the Rfam family "Bacterial small subunit ribosomal RNA", at positions 524 to 776 of the family's 1533-position model. The record is from RNAcentral.